This 468-nucleotide long non-coding RNA is filed under the name Cairina moschata (Muscovy duck). Its description in RNAcentral is "domestica (muscovy Duck (domestic type)) lncRNA (ENSCMMG00000016010.1)". The record is from RNAcentral. Lineage: Eukaryota; Metazoa; Chordata; Aves; Anseriformes; Anatidae.
GAUCAACAGAGAUGCAGGAGCUUGUGAUUGCUAUGAACAAAUGAUAAAAAGUUAUCCCUGUACUAUAUUAUCUAAAAGUGAGGAGAAAUGAAUUUUGGUUCAUAUAUACCAAAGUAAACAAAAUGAAAUUAAAGUAAAGCAAUAAGGAAAAGGAUUGCAGCAGGAUUUUAUUGGCUAGAUUUUGGACCAGGGUUUCCCCAAAGACAGCGUUCCAGCCCUGCAGUUCAAAUGACCCUUUCCUUGGCUUUAUCCCAGGCUUCAGCCAACACUUCUCCCAGCAUCAGAUGAGACUUAGCCCAGAGACUGCAAAGAACCUAAACACUUGAAUCAAAUUCAAUGUAUCAUGAACCAGGUGCUCAUCAGAGAACCAUUACUGAAUUUGAAAAAGUGUAUUUCCAACAGCUUUGAGCAGCAAUAGUCUACAUCUCAUCCUAUUACACUAAAUUUUGAUUAAAUGCCAAAAAGUGC